This 236-nucleotide ribosomal RNA is filed under the name uncultured bacterium. RNAcentral's name for it is "partial 16S ribosomal RNA". It matches the Rfam family "Bacterial small subunit ribosomal RNA", at positions 57 to 305 of the family's 1533-position model. The record is from RNAcentral.
GCAAGUCGAACGAACAAAGCUGGAGCUUGCUUCAGCUGCGUGAGUGGCAAACGGGUGAGUAACACGUGGGAAUCUACCCAUCAGUACGGAAUAACAUUUGGAAACAGAUGCUAAUACCUUAUAUCCUCUACGGAGGAAAGAUUUAUCGCUGAUGGAUGAGCCCGCGCAAGAUUAGGUAGUUGGUGGGGUAAUGGCCUACCAAGACGAUGAUGCAUAGCCGACCUGAGAGGGUGAUC